GGGCAAUCGAGUCACUCCAACCCCUGUGACAUACCAAUUGUUGCCUCGGCGGAUCAGCCCGCUCCCGGUAAAACGGGACGGCCCGCCAGAGGACCCCUAAACUCUGUUUCUAUAUGUAACUUCUGAGUAAAACCAUAAAUAAAUCAAAACUUUCAACAACGGAUCUCUUGGUUCUGGCAUCGAUGAAGAACGCAGCAAAAUGCGAUAAGUAAUGUGAAUUGCAGAAUUCAGUGAAUCAUCGAAUCUUUGAACGCACAUUGCGCCCGCCAGUAUUCUGGCGGGCAUGCCUGUUCGAGCGUCAUUUCAACCCUCAAGCCCCCGGGUUUGGUGUUGGGGAUCGGCGAGCCCUCGCGGCAAGCCGGCCCCGAAAUCUAGUGGCGGUCUCGCUGCAGCUUCCAUUGCGUAGUAGUAAAACCCUCGCAACUGGUACGCGGCGCGGCCAAGCCGUUAAACCCCCAACUUCUGAAUGUUGACCUCGGAUCAGGUAGGAAUACCCGCUGAACUUAAGCAUAUCAAAUCGGAAAGAAAAUUCAUUACCAAGUUUACAACUCCCAAACCCUGGUGAACAUACAAUUGGUGCCUCGCCGAAAACCGCUUCGGGUAAAACGGGACGGCCCCCGAGGACCUAAACUCUGUUUCUAUAUGUAACUUCUGAGUAAAACCAUAAAUAAAUCAAAACUUUCAACAAGGAUCUCUUGGUUCUGGCAUCGAUGAAAGAACGCAGCAAAAUGCGAUAAGUAAUGUGAAUUGCAGAAUUCAGUGAAUCAUCGAAUCUUUGAACGCACAUUGCGCCCGCAGUAUUCUGGCGGGCAUGCCUGUUCGAGCGUCAUUUCACCUCAGCCCCGGGUUUGGUGGUUGGGGAUCGGCAACCCCCCGCAGCCCGCCCAAAACAGUGGCGGUCUCUCUGCGCUUACUUGGGGAUAAUAAAACCCCAAAUGGUACCGGCGCGCCAGCCUUAAACCCCCCUCUCUGUGAGCCCCCUGACGUGGAACACCCCCAUCAUACAUACAUGCGUGUAA
RNAcentral lists this ribosomal RNA (1019 nucleotides) under Fusarium proliferatum. Its description in RNAcentral is "eukaryotic LSU rRNA". The stretch from base 148 to 301 matches the Rfam family "5.8S ribosomal RNA". The record is from RNAcentral. Lineage: Eukaryota; Fungi; Ascomycota; Sordariomycetes; Hypocreales; Nectriaceae.